Molecule: ribosomal RNA, 429 nt
Filed under: Pseudomonadota bacterium
Lineage: Bacteria; Pseudomonadati; Pseudomonadota
Description: Proteobacteria bacterium partial 16S ribosomal RNA
Rfam family: Bacterial small subunit ribosomal RNA
Source: RNAcentral
UGGGGAAUAUUGGACAAUGGGCGAAAGCCUGAUCCAGCCAUGCCGCGUGUGUGAAGAAGGUCUUCGGAUUGUAAAGCACUUUAAGUUGGGAGGAAGGGCAGUAAGCGAAUACCUUGCUGUUUUGACGUUACCGACAGAAUAAGCACCGGCUAACUCUGUGCCAGCAGCCGCGGUAAUACAGAGGGUGCAAGCGUUAAUCGGAAUUACUGGGCGUAAAGCGCGCGUAGGUGGUUCGUUAAGUUGAAUGUGAAAGCCCCGGGCUCAACCUGGGAACUGCAGCCAAAGCUGGCGAGCUAGAGUAGGGCAGAGGGUGGUGGAAUUUCCUGUGUAGCGGUGAAAUGCGUAGAUAUAGGAAGGAACACCAGUGGCGAAGGCGACCACCUGGGCUCAUACUGACACUGAGGUGCGAAAGCGUGGGGAGCAAACAGG